This is a non-coding RNA of Camelina sativa (false flax), 629 nucleotides long. Lineage: Eukaryota; Viridiplantae; Streptophyta; Magnoliopsida; Brassicales; Brassicaceae. The record is from RefSeq and is a predicted model, not a curated record.
UUUUCUUUCCCUUCCUCAGUGACCUAAAUUUUUUUUUCCCCAAAUUAAAACUAAGGCAAUCUGUUUUGAGAGAGUGGGAAAUGAGAUCUCCGUGGUCAUGACCUGAGGAGGAAGAUGAGAGAGAGACUCGCAAUCUUUCAGAUCGGAGAAACGUUCGUCAGCUAGGAGCAUUUCGACAUUACCAGAGUUUCCUUCCUUCUUCUUCGAUGGUUAGCCUACGCUCCGCAAAAUUCACUCCGGCUCCGGAAAUGGUCAUCGACGUUGAAACGGAGAAAGAUGCCUCUGCUGAUUCACCCACUUCUGUUCUCAACGAGGAGGUUUGUUUUGUGUUAUACAUUUCUCCUUUGGUAUAAUAUUGUGUAAAAAGCUUAGAAAGAAAAAGUUUUCUGUAAAUGGGUUCAUUCAUCUCAAUGUAGCUACUUAGCACACGAACUCAUUGUUUGGUAUCAGGGACAAGAAGCUUCAAUGUUGCUUCCUUUCUCAUAUGCUGUGGUCUCGGGUGCUAUAGGAUCAUGUUCUGUUUUAUUUGCCAAGUCACUGUGAGAUGCUCUGUGACUUAAUUUAUUUCUUUCAUUGUCACAUCGGCUUAAUCUAUUUUGUCACAUAGCCAUUGGAGCAAUAUUCUCUGC